This 251-nucleotide unclassified non-coding RNA is filed under the name uncultured fungus. RNAcentral's name for it is "partial contains 5.8S ribosomal RNA, internal transcribed spacer 2, and large subunit ribosomal RNA". The stretch from base 1 to 52 matches the Rfam family "5.8S ribosomal RNA", at positions 103 to 154 of the family's 154-position model. The record is from RNAcentral. Lineage: Eukaryota; Fungi.
AACGCACAUUGCGCCCGCCAGUAUUCUGGCGGGCAUGCCUGUUCGAGCGUCAUUUCAACCCUCAAGCCCUGCUUGGUGUUGGGGAUCGGCCGGCCCAGCGCCGGCCGCCCCCUAAAUCCAGUGGCGAUCCCACCGGCGCAUCCCUUGGCGUAGUACAUACCCUCGCCCUGGAACGCCGUGCGAUCACGCCGUAAAACCCCCCACUUCUCAAGGUUGACCUCGGAUCAGGUAGGAAUACCCGCUGAACUUAA